CCAACAUUCAUAUGAUCGGUCAUCCAUCAUAUGCAUGAGAAAGAGCGUUAGUCAAAUUCUGUUUGUUGUUUGUGGCUAGACAUGCACAGGAAAGCAUACAAAUUCUCAUGGCUGUGUCAUAUUGGCAGCUAUGCGGAAUCAGGACGCAUGGCUUACAUGCAGAUGGCCAUGAUACGUUUAAGGUAGGCUGAAUACGUAUACAAGCCCCUUAGCUAUUCGACUUUUUCCAUAUAGACACCCCAAUUAAGACACGUACCUAUUGAACCCUUUACUCCUUCACAAAAUGUGUCAAUUGAGCCCAAUCGCUGACGUGGCGCUGACAUGGCAUGACAUGUGUAAUGGAGAGUGAGAAGACACAAUUAAUAAGAACAUUAAAUAUUAAAAAAAAACCAAUAAAAAAAGACACAUAAAAUAAAUUAAAAAAACACAUAAAAGAAAUAAAAAGCUAUCUUCUCCAUUGUCAAGCUUCCAUAAUCUUCCUCUUCAAUAAAUCUUAAACAUAGCAUUUUAUUUCUUCAAAUUGAAUUCGAAAUUAAUGAUAUUUUUUGUAUACAAUAUAAUUCAAUCAAUGGUUUUUCCUUCCCCUGCCUUCCCUUCUUCCAAUCGCGAAUAGUUCAUCUUCAAUUACCUAAAUUCAAAUACCCAAAAUACACUAAUUUUAUUCACUUCUAACACUUGCUCUAUGAAUUUCAGAAUAAUAAAAUCGAUUCAGGAGAUUUUGUGUGUGUACUAGGUGAGGAAGAAAACAAUACAACCUACAGGGAAAACAAAAUUUCCCAUUAUUUACGUAGAAGUUCCAUAGCUUCACAAAACUUCAAAAAAAAAAAAAAGGCCCAUCAUUUAUAUGAUUUAUCAAAGUCAGUACCAAAAUCAUAAAAAUUUGGUGAUUUUCCUGGAUUUUUCCCCUUUUUGAUUUUUGAUCCAUAAACAAAAUCAGCUGCAGAUUUUAUCAAAGAAUUCAAAAUGUUUCUAUCUUUUACUGCUACAAUUUAAAGGAAAUGGAGAUGAAAAUGAAAAUGAAAAAUUGACGAAAUCGAAGUGGGAAAAUGGAAUAACAAAAUGUUUCUAUCUUUUACUGCUACAAUUUAACUAACACUUUAAAAUUCAUUAUUUUUUUCAAUGAAGGAGUGAAGUGAAGAUGGGGAAGAUGGAUAUUGUUGGAUAUUAUUGGGUAUCGACGGAAUCGAAAUGCUUCAAUGGUGGGGAAAGGUGUAUUGACGGAAUCAAAGUGCUUCAAUGGUGGAAAAUGAGUAUCUAUGGAAGAAGGAGAAGAUACUUUUUUUUUUUACGUUCUGCUGCUUUUGGAAGGGAAGGAAGAGAAGGGGAAGGGGGGUAAGGAUUGGGUAGGGCUGUAGUGUGGGGGUGGCGGGUAGUUAAUGUUUUUUUUUUUUAAUUUAGAUUUAAUUAUGUUAAAAAUUUAUUUUUAUAAUUAUUUUAAAUUAAAAUGCCACAUGUCGUUAUUUAAUUCGUCACUUUGCCACAUCAUCCGCGUGUGUGUUACAUGCAUUUUACAUUUUUUGCCACGUCAGCAAAUUAGUUCAAUUGAAACCAUUUGUGAAUGAGUAAAAGGUUCAAUAGGUACCUGACUUAAUUGAGGUACCUAUACGGGAAAAGUGAAAUAGUUCAGGGGCCUGUAUAUGUAUUCCGUCUUUAAGGUAAGGUAGAGACAAGGAAGAGGAAAUCCUAGUUCCAACAUUUGUUGGAACUUGGAAACACAAUGUAACAAGAAAAUUCUUAUCACUGAGUAUCCAGUUUUGGAAAUACUA
This 1766-nucleotide long non-coding RNA is filed under the name Capsicum annuum. Its description in RNAcentral is "long non-coding RNA (CANN_LNC019112)". Lineage: Eukaryota; Viridiplantae; Streptophyta; Magnoliopsida; Solanales; Solanaceae. The record is from RNAcentral.